UUUCGAUUUUCGGUUACCGACACGUUGUUAGCCGCCGUUCAAUACAAUGCUAUGUCGUGCGCCUAUAGAACCUAGGUUCUAUAAGGUAUUAAAAGUAUAGUUAUAUUAGCUGUAGGUUUUAAACGACGAAAAACCCUCGGGUUGUGGUGCGAAACCGCGUCGGAUAGGUAACGGGGCCGAAAAAAUGUGUUUUCGGUACGCCCGGAGACUC
Cinara cedri is the source of this 211-nucleotide non-coding RNA. NCBI's taxonomy places the organism in Eukaryota, Metazoa, Arthropoda, Insecta, Hemiptera, Aphididae. The record is from the annotation of a GenBank genome assembly.